RNAcentral lists this long non-coding RNA (310 nucleotides) under Musa acuminata (dwarf banana). RNAcentral's name for it is "long non-coding RNA (MACU_LNC005023)". The record is from RNAcentral. Lineage: Eukaryota; Viridiplantae; Streptophyta; Magnoliopsida; Zingiberales; Musaceae.
AGGCGGCAAUCAGACUCACCUGCCCUCCAGCGAUGUACUGGAGGAGGAGGCACGCCAUGGAAGAGCCCAGCAGCUGGACGAUCACGUAGAGGACGCAGCGGAAGACGGUGACGUAGCCGCCGGCGGCAAACCCGAUCGUGACGGCGGGGUUCAAGUGCCCAGCCGAGACGUCGAGGCCGACGGCUACCAUCACCGCCACCAGCAUCGCCUGAGCCACCGCCACCGCCGUCAGUCCCAUGAUCGAGUCCUGCCCUCCUGCCAUCUUCCCUGCAACAACAACCACCGAUGCCACCCCUCAAAUACCAAACCC